This 441-nucleotide ribosomal RNA is filed under the name uncultured bacterium. RNAcentral describes it as "partial 16S ribosomal RNA". It matches the Rfam family "Bacterial small subunit ribosomal RNA", at positions 338 to 795 of the family's 1533-position model. The record is from RNAcentral.
CCUACGUGAGGCAGCAGUGGGGAAUAUUGCACAAUGGGGGGAACCCUGAUGCAGCGACGCCGCGUGAGUGAAGAAGUAUUUCGGUAUGUAAAGCUCUAUCAGCAGGAACGAGACAAGACGGUACCUGACUAAGAAGCCCCGGCUAACUACGUGCCAGCAGCCGCGGUAAUACGUAGGGGGCAAGCGUUAUCCGGAAUCACUGGGUGGAAAGGGAGCGUAGACGGCUGAGCAAGCCUGAAGUGAAAGGCGGGGGCCCAACCCCCGGACUGCUUUGGGAACUGUACGGCUGGAGUGCAGGAGAGGUAAGUGGAAUUCCUAGUGUAGCGGUGAAAUGCGUAGAUAUUAGGAGGAACACCAGUGGCGAAGGCGGCUUACUGGACUGUAACUGACGUUGAGGCUCGAAAGCGUGGGGAGCAAACAGGAUUAGAUACCCGAGUAGUC